UGUUCAUUUAAAUAACUUCGCUUCUGUCAUGUAUCAGGAGUUGACUUUUGUUCUUCUGUCCCAGGCGUUCUGGCUCCUCGCCAAGGGCGCACGCGCUGACAGCCGCCACUAAUGCCGGUGAUAAUGCAGAUAGUCGAGAUGAAACGGGACAGGUCCUUGCGAGAGCCUCAUUAGCCAGGCUUCCAUCAGCUUAAUAUUUUGGCUGAAAAGAGGAUAUGACCAUGAACUGAGAGGGAGAGGAGAGGGGGGGAAAUCAGAACAACAAAACAACAAGAAAGCAGAAAGAAAGACCAAAAGAACAAGCGUUUUUGAUAAAGUGCUUACAGAGCGAUUACUGUGAGUUGUGCAGAGAUGGUGCAGUGCUCACACAGGGCGAGGAAGCAUGGCAAAGACAUGUGCUCAUCUACCAUUGUAAAAACUGGAAGAUGAUAUUCAUACAAUUCAUUUGAUUUUGGAGAACUGAACAAAAACAACUUAAUAUGAUGUAUGCUGAUAUAAAAACAAUAUCUAAAUUAAAACCAUCUUUUAUAAUGC
This 534-nucleotide long non-coding RNA is filed under the name Danio rerio (zebrafish). RNAcentral describes it as "lncRNA (ENSDARG00000117287.1)". Lineage: Eukaryota; Metazoa; Chordata; Actinopteri; Cypriniformes; Danionidae. The record is from RNAcentral.